RNAcentral lists this ribosomal RNA (253 nucleotides) under uncultured bacterium. RNAcentral's name for it is "partial 16S ribosomal RNA". It matches the Rfam family "Bacterial small subunit ribosomal RNA", at positions 524 to 776 of the family's 1533-position model. The record is from RNAcentral.
UACGUAGGGCGCAAGCGUUAUCCGGAAUUAUUGGGCGUAAAGAGCUCGUAGGCGGUUUGUCGCGUCUGCCGUGAAAGUCCGGGGCUCAACUCCGGAUCUGCGGUGGGUACGGGCAGACUAGAGUGAUGUAGGGGAGACUGGAAUUCCUGGUGUAGCGGUGAAAUGCGCAGACAUCAGGAGGAACACCGAUGGCGAAGGCAGGUCUCUGGGCAUUAACUGACGCUGAGGAGCGAAAGCAUGGGGAGCGAACAGG